This 253-nucleotide ribosomal RNA is filed under the name uncultured bacterium. RNAcentral describes it as "partial 16S ribosomal RNA". It matches the Rfam family "Bacterial small subunit ribosomal RNA", at positions 524 to 776 of the family's 1533-position model. The record is from RNAcentral.
UACGUAGGGUGCAAGCGUUAAUCGGAAUUACUGGGCGUAAAGCGUGCGCAGGCGGUUAUGCAAGACAGAUGUGAAAUCCCCGGGCUCAACCUGGGAACUGCAUUUGUGACUGCAUAGCUGGAGUGCGGUAGAGGGGGAUGGAAUUCCGCGUGUAGCAGUGAAAUGCGUAGAUAUGCGGAGGAACACCGAUGGCGAAGGCAAUCCCCUGGGCCUGCACUGACGCUCAUGCACGAAAGCGUGGGGAGCAAACAGG